CGCCUCCACUCGUCCGCGGCGGCUCUCGGCGCGCCGGCCCCGCUCAGGCUCUGGUGUCCCCUCUCUCCGGACCUUCUCUCCGGGCUCGGGUCCCCUCCGCGGGCUCCCCCGGCGGCCGGCCCGGCCCGGAGGCUCGCGGCCGGAGCGGAGCGGAGUGCGCACGCCGGGGUGGCGGGACUUCGGCAAGACCAACUUUCCGAAUCUUCCCGCUACCCAGCCGCGGUUCUCCCGCGCGCCUCUAAUCGUGUAAGUUUCACGAAGCAACAGCUUUGGGCUCCAGGAAAAGCGCAGGAAAAUCAUACAGAGGAAGGAAGUGCACAGGUUGGAAUCAUCUCCAAAGAGACCCCGCCGUCACUUUUGCCACCCACCUCCCAACCAAUCCCUGAAGAAGCAAACGUAGGUUCCCGCGGCGUCCGAAGCCCCUCAGAGGAAGCCCGAGCCCGGCUCCCCGGCCGCCUCCUGGCCCGGUGUCACCGACUCCUCCUCUUUGGGCCGCUUUGCACGCACCGGCCCCACCUUUUUUGUUCCUAAAGCCAUUCGUCCGCCCGCCCCAGCCCCCCACUCUCUCUCCGACACACUGGCACGAUUUCCUUCGGGCUUUCCCGGACUCCUGAACGCCACUGCUUCAUUCCGUCGACUUGCUCUGCAUUUUCUCCGGUGUGCGGCCGUGGGGAGGAUCUUAAGUCCCUCCAGCGAAGGCGAAAGUGAGACCCCGGCCCUUUAUCUGUAAGAAGCGAGCCGUCAGAUUGCAGAGGUGUCGCGCCAGCCGCGCUGCGCGUUGUAAGUGCGGAGACCCAGCAGGCUGGGCUCGGCGCUGCGGUGGACGCGGUGCCUCCCCCCAAAGUGAGCGGCCGCGGAGCAGGACACGGAGCUCGCGGUCCGACCGGCCCGGCGUGGGGUGCGGCCCCCGCCCAGGGCGCGCGCGGUGGGGUCGCCUGGCCGAAGGUGCGGGCUGCACCUCGCCCCCCGCGCUCUCCGUGCUGGGAUUUCGUUGAGAAGAUGGAGCAAAGACUUGGGCGAAAGAGCCAGGGAAGCUGUGAAAGGGGCACCUACACAAAUUCCCCGCCACUGCCAGAAUGGUGCGGAUCAGUAAAUUGUGUGGCGCCCCUUUUAAAAAAUUGAUUCGGGUGUUCAAGGUCAAUAAAAUUAAAAAAAAAAAAAAGUAGAGGCCGAAAAUAAAAGGCGAGUUACCUCCUGAGUUACCUGUUCUCCCUUCCUCGCCUCCCUCCACUGAGGUCUGAAACUUUUCUUUAAUUGUUUUUAUUUAGUGCAGCCAGUUUUAAUGAAAGCAUAGCCGUCUAAAGUUUGAGUCCCAACAAUAGGUUUAUUGCCAGGCGACAACGUGUCAAGCAGAAUAUCUUCACAGAUGAGGUACAGGAUGUGUCCUCCAGUCACGCCCAGACUGGAGGACCCCCGGAGCUGUGCAUCAGAGGCGCAGACACCGAGUUGCACUGGCGACACACAAGUCCCUACCGUCACAUGACCACUGUCUAUUAAAAUAUUGUGAUA
Balaenoptera acutorostrata (minke whale) is the source of this 1509-nucleotide long non-coding RNA. RefSeq lists it as uncharacterized. The transcript has 3 exons. The record is from RefSeq and is a predicted model, not a curated record. NCBI's taxonomy places the organism in Eukaryota, Metazoa, Chordata, Mammalia, Artiodactyla, Balaenopteridae.